CUACACGACCGUACCGCAAACCGACACUGGUGCGCGAGAUGAGUAUUCUAAGGCGCUUGAGAGAACUCAGGAGAAGGAACUCGGCAAAUUGACACCGUAACUUCGGAAGAAGGUGUGCCUUUAGUAGGUGAACCUGUACAAGGGGAGCCCAAUGAGGUUGCAAAAAAUCGGUGGCUGCGACUGUUUAAUAAAAACACAGCACUCUGCAAACACGAAAGUGGACGUAUAGGGUGUGACGCCUGCCCGGUGCUGGAAGAUUAAAUGAUGGGGUGCAAGCUCUUGAUUGAAGUCCCAGUAAACGGCGGCCGUAACUAUAACGGUCCUAAGGUAGCGAAAUUCCUUGUCGGGUAAGUUCCGACCUGCACGAAUGGCGUAACGAUGGCCACACUGUCUCCUCCUGAGACUCAGCGAAGUUGAAAUGUUUGUGAUGAUGCAAUCUCCCCGCGGAAAGACGGAAAGACCCCAUGAACCUUUACUGUAGCUUUGUAUUGGACUUUGAACAGAUCUGUGUAGGAUAGGUGGGAGGCUUUGAAGUGUGGUCGCUAGAUCGCAUGGAGCCAACGUUGAAAUACCACCCUGGUGUGUUUGAGGUUCUAACCUAGGCCCGUAAUCCGGGUCGGGGACAGUGCAUGGUAGGCAGUUUGACUGGGGCGGUCUCCUCCCAAAGCGUAACGGAGGAGUUCGAAGGUACGCUAGGUACGGUCGGACAUCGUGCUAAUAGUGCAAUGGCAUAAGCGUGCUUAACUGCGAGACUGACAAGUCGAGCAGAUGCGAAAGCAGGACAUAGUGAUCCGGUGGUUCUGUAUGGAAGGGCCAUCGCUCAACGGAUAAAAGGUACUCUGGGGAUAACAGGCUGAUACCGCCCAAGAGUUCAUAUCGACGGCGGUGUUUGGCACCUCGAUGUCGGCUCAUCUCAUCCUGGGGCUGUAGCCGGUCCCAAGGGUAUGGCUGUUCGCCAUUUAAAGAGGUACGUGAGCUGGGUUUAAAACGUCGUGAGACAGUUUGGUCCCUAUCUUCCGUGGGCGCUGCAGAUUUGAGGAAGCCUGCUCCUAGUACGAGAGGACCGGAGUGGACACACCUCUGGUGUAUCGGUUGUCACGCCAGUGGCAUUGCCGAGUAGCUAUGUGUGGAAGAGAUAACCGCUGAAAGCAUCUAAGCGGGAAACUCGUUUCAAGAUGAGAUCUGCCGGGGCCUUGAGCCCCCUAAAGAGUCGUUCAAGACCAGGACGUUGAUAGGUCGGGUGUGGAAGCGCAGUAAUGCGUUAAGCUAACCGAUACUAAUUGCUCGUGCGGCUUGACCAG
Molecule: ribosomal RNA, 1301 nt
Filed under: metagenome
Description: bacterial LSU rRNA
Rfam family: Bacterial large subunit ribosomal RNA
Source: RNAcentral